UACAGAGGUCCCAAGCGUUGUUCGGAUUCACUGGGCGUAAAGGGUGCGUAGGUGGCGAAGUAAGUCGGAUGUGAAAUCUCCGAGCUCAACUCGGAAACUGCAUUGGAAACUGCUUUGCUUGAGGUUUGGAAGGGGGACUGGAAUUCUCGGUGUAGCAGUGAAAUGCGUAGAGAUCGAGAGGAACACCAGUGGCGAAGGCGAGUCCCUGGACAACACCUGACACUGAGGCACGAAAGCCAGGGGAGCAAACAGG
This 253-nucleotide ribosomal RNA is filed under the name uncultured bacterium. Its description in RNAcentral is "partial 16S ribosomal RNA". It matches the Rfam family "Bacterial small subunit ribosomal RNA", at positions 524 to 776 of the family's 1533-position model. The record is from RNAcentral.